This 465-nucleotide ribosomal RNA is filed under the name uncultured bacterium. RNAcentral's name for it is "partial 16S ribosomal RNA". It matches the Rfam family "Bacterial small subunit ribosomal RNA", at positions 28 to 507 of the family's 1533-position model. The record is from RNAcentral.
GAUGAACGCUGGCGGCGUGCUUAACACAUGCAAGUCGAACGGAAAGGCUCCUGCUUGCAGGGGUACUCGAGUGGCGAACGGGUGAGUAACACGUGGGUGAUCUGCCCUGCACUUCGGGAUAAGCCUGGGAAACUGGGUCUAAUACCGGAUAGGACGAUGGUUUGGAUGCCAUUGUGGAAAGUUUUUCGGUGUGGGAUGAGCUCGCGGCCUAUCAGCUUGUUGGUGGGGUAAUGGCCUACCAAGGCGUCGACGGGUAGCCGGCCUGAGAGGGUGUACGGCCACAUUGGGACUGAGAUACGGCCCAGACUCCUACGGGAGGCAGCAGUGGGGGAUAUUGCACAAUGGGCGCAAGCCUGAUGCAGCGACGCCGCGUGGGGGAUGACGGCCUUCGGGUUGUAAACUCCUUUCGCUAGGGACGAAGCGCAAGUGACGGUACCUGGAGAAGAAGCACCGGCUAACUACGUG